CGAACGGUAACAGCCCUUCGGGCGCUGACGAGUGGCGGACGGGUGAGUAACGCGUAGGAAUCUGCCUUAUAGUGGGGGACAACGUGGGGAAACCCACGCUAAUACCGCAUACGCCCUACGGGGGAAAGCGGGGGAUCGUAAGACCUCGCGCUAUGAGAUGAGCCUGCGUUAGAUUAGCUAGUUGGUAGGGUAAAGGCCUACCAAGGCGACGAUCUAUAGCUGGUCUGAGAGGACGAUCAGCCACACUGGGACUGAGUCACGGCCCAGACUCCUACGGGAGGCAGCAGUGGGGAAUAUUGGACAAUGGGCGCAAGCCUGAUCCAGCAAUACCGCGUGUGUGAAGAAGGCCCUAGGGUUGUAAAGCACUUUCAAUGGGGAGGAAAACCUGCCGGUCAAUACCCGGUAGCUUGACAUUACCUAUAGAAGAAGCACCGGCUAACUCCGUGCCAGCAGCCGCGGUAAUACGGAGGGUGCGAGCGUUAAUCGGAAUUACUGGGCGUAAAGCGUGCGUAGGCGGUUCGUUAAGUCAGAUGUGAAAGCCCUGGGCUCAACCUGGGAACUGCAUUUGAAACUGGCGGACUAGAGUUUAGUAGAGGGGAUUGGAAUUUCAGGUGUAGCGGUGAAAUGCGUAGAUAUCUGAAGGAACACCAGUGGCGAAGGCGACUCCCUGGACUAGAACUGACGCUGAGGUACGAAAGCGUGGGUAGCAAACAGGAUUAGAUACCCUGGUAGUCCACGCCGUAAACGAUGUCAACUAGCCGUUGGUCCUAUAUACAGGAUUAGUGGCGCAGCUAACGCAUUAAGUUGACCGCCUGGGGAGUACGGCCGCAAGGUUAAAACUCAAAUGAAUUGACGGGGGCCCGCACAAGCGGUGGAGCAUGUGGUUUAAUUCGAUACACGAAGAACCUUACCCAGGUUUGACAUACAGGUAGUAGUGAAGCGAAAGCGGAACGAUCCUUCGGGAAGCCUGAACAGGUGCUGCAUGGCUGUCGUCAGCUCGUGCCGUGAGGUGUUUGGUUAAGUCCACUAACGAGCGCAACCCCUGUCGUCAGUUACAUGUGUCUGGCGAGACUGCCGGUCUUAAACCGGAGGAAGGUGGGGAUGACGUCAAGUCAGCAUGGCCUUUAUAUCUGGGACUACACACACGCUACAAUGGCCGGUACAAUGGGUUGCCAACCCGCGAGGGGGAGCUAAUCCUAUAAAGCCGGUCUCAGUUCGGAUUGUAGGCUGCAACUCGCCUGCAUGAAGCCGGAGUUGCUAGUAAACGCGCGUCAGCUAUAGUGCGUUGAAUACGUUCCCGGGUC
This 1304-nucleotide ribosomal RNA is filed under the name metagenome. RNAcentral's name for it is "bacterial SSU rRNA". It matches the Rfam family "Bacterial small subunit ribosomal RNA", at positions 63 to 1380 of the family's 1533-position model. The record is from RNAcentral.